ACCAUCAGUGUAUCACUCUCCUGAAAGUGGUUAGAAAUGUUAUGAGAACCAGUCUUUCUCUGCCCAACUGGUGGGAUCAAGUAACAAGGGCUUAGACCAGACCAGUUAACUUAAAGACUCUGAAAUGCACCAAAACUUUUUUUCACAAAAUACCUGACAUGGACUUUGACAGCCAAAUUACUUAUCCGUCUUCCAAGGAGGGGCUGAAAUGUAAGGAGUGUUAUAAAGAAGGCAUUAAACUGAAGAAAUCCACUGAUCUGCAUCAGUCUUCAAAAUGACAGGAAGAGAUGUCUCAUGCUCAGUUUGUUGAAGAAUAUCCAACCUGGAAUGUUCUGAACAAGCUGAAAGGUGAAAGAACUCCAUGAAAAGCCAGAACCAUCCCUUGCUCAGCAGUUGGCAGGAACAUCUGAAAUGUACUUCACAGACUGAACUGAAAUCCGUGGUUUAUUAGAAGUGACAGCUCAAACACGCCUUAAAUUGUGAUGAGAGAAUGGUUUCGUCUUCAUCUCUCCUGGGGCUACAGAUGAUGAGCUCAUCAAAUCUCCAUAACAAGUGUGGAGAAUAGCCAAGAGGAAGAAAGAGAACAAACUGCAGCUACCAAAGGAAAUAUGCCUUUUAAAGUUGCAAGGAAGUGUUUCAUCUUCAGGCAUGAAAAAGCAAAAACAAAUCUUCUGUCAUUGAGGAUCUCCCACGACCAGUUCAUCAGUGACAGUCCAGAUCAGACACUGUGUACAACUGCAGGGGCACAAACAGAAGAACCAGCUAUGGAGAGUGCUGGAGUGAACAGAGCUCCGGACCCCAUCCCUCCUUGGGGGCUGGGUAAAAAUGGGUAAGCAGCAUGAUUCUGUCUGCUUUGGCCUUGCCUGGCUGGUGUAAUUACUGCUGGAGCUGGUAACCAGACAGUUUAAGUUCCACUUUAAAGUGAAUCAUCUUCUGUAACCAAGUGGAAUAAAAACAUGGACACACACCUCCUGCAGGCAUCUCCUCUAAGCUACAAUCAAUUGUUGUCCUCCACUUUUGUAUCCUCAGUGUACAAGCACAGACACUGAGUUUCAGAAAAUUGUGUUGGAUGAGAAGGGAGGGGCUACCACUUAAACAUUCACCAUUCAUGAGCCUGUCUUUUUCUUCAGCCUGUCACGAGACACAGUAGACAUGAGAUCCCCUUCUGAAGAGCCAGGUUUCAUCCAAUCCUUAAAACACUGGCCAUGGUAACUUUCUAGU
Catharus ustulatus (Swainson's thrush) is the source of this 1221-nucleotide long non-coding RNA. RefSeq lists it as uncharacterized. The record is from RefSeq and is a predicted model, not a curated record. The transcript is spliced from 6 exons. Lineage: Eukaryota; Metazoa; Chordata; Aves; Passeriformes; Turdidae.